GGAGCUGUUUAUCAGAGCAGUUACUACACAUGCAGCAAAGUAGCUUAGUUACCAAGAAUGAGAAGAAUUAUAAGCAGGUCUUUAGUUUAGCAGGUUGGGUAUAAACACAGCAGAGAAGGCAGGUUUGAUUAACAGUGUUUGGCUGAAAUUCACACACAUCUUCACAGUUUUGCUCUGCAGCAUCCAUCCAGAUGUCACUAAAUGAGGCGCCUGCUUUCAUCUGGCUUAAAACAAAACUUGACCUAAAUGAAGAAGUCAACAAAUCACCCAACUUUAACCAUCAACAGAGAGCAAAGCGGGUUCCUGUUCCUCACCUGGCUUCCUCUCAUGAUGGAGUGUCCGCACACCCACAGCGGCUAGGACAAUAACUCCAACAGCAGCAAUGCUGCUAAACCAUAAAUAGAGGUACACGUCUGCAAAGCUGCCACUCCGGCACGUCGGCGGAUUCUCUGGCUCGCUCCAGACUCAGCAGAUGCUCGCCGUUAAACUCUGCCACAGUUCCUGCUCUCAUAAAGCUGGAAGAUCAUUCCAAAGAUAGAACGCUACAUCAACAUAUUUCACUGGAACCCAAAAAUAAAAUCAGCUUUGCUGGAUGAACGUC
Molecule: long non-coding RNA, 601 nt
Organism: Oryzias melastigma (Indian medaka)
Lineage: Eukaryota; Metazoa; Chordata; Actinopteri; Beloniformes; Adrianichthyidae
Exons: 2
Source: RefSeq, a predicted model, not a curated record